Molecule: long non-coding RNA, 32049 nt
Filed under: Triticum aestivum (bread wheat)
Lineage: Eukaryota; Viridiplantae; Streptophyta; Magnoliopsida; Poales; Poaceae
Description: long non-coding RNA (TAES_LNC023636)
Rfam family: MIR1120/MIR1122 microRNA precursor family (bases 2828-2914)
Source: RNAcentral
CUCUCUCUGUUUGCUCUCGCGUCCGCCGCGCCCGUCCCGUCCCGCCUGCGCCCGCGCGUGUGCUCGCUCGCCGCCUCCGAUCCACCGGCCCACCACCGCGCCGGCGGCAUGGCGGAUCAGCUCACCGACGACCAGAUCGCCGAGUUCAAGGAGGCCUUCAGCCUCUUCGACAAGGACGGAGAUGGUGAGCGCGUCCCUCCUCCCUCCCUCCCCCCUCCCUUACACCUCCCGUCCCUCGGAUCUCUCCUUGGCGCGACGCUCGCCGCCGCCGCGCGCGCGGUGGCAUUGCCCCUGCCUCCCCCGUCGCGGGGCGCUCCUUUCGUGGAUUCGCGCUGCCGGGUGGCAGAUCCGGCCCGGAUCUGGGCCUAGCCGCUGGGAAAAUCGCUUGUUGCUGUCGUGUGCGCGCCUAGUGGCGAGGCGAUGAUGUGCACGCGACGCUUAUCCUCGGGGUUGACCAUUUCGUGACAAGGACGUCUCGUCUUGUCGCCGUCUAGGUUUUAUUUUGUUUUUGGAUCGCGUCGCGAUCGCGUUCACUGUCGCUUCUAGAACAACUAAGCCUGAACGGGUCGUGAUUGUUGACCGUGGACUGUCGCUGUGUAGCAGUAGCUUGCUCUUCAUCGCACUUUUUUCGAUUUAGGUAGUUUAAUUCGCGCAGAGAUCCCUGGAGGUGGAGAAAAAUCUCGCCAUGUAGUAUUAUAGGGAAAUUCAUGAACGUUUGAUGACGUGGUAUAGUAAAUUUUAAGCUAUUGUUUGAUUCGGCUUUGGAUGAUUUGGUUGAAGUUUCUUAUUAGUCAUGUAGAGUACCAUAAUGUAAAAGUUUGGUUAAUAACCGUGUAGAACUGUCUGGGUUUGAACUUUCCACAGCGAAUUUACUGUUGCAUCAAUCUACUUUGAUGUUAUGAAAUUGCUGUGCACACGAUUGUUUCACAGACGACUUCUGUACGAUGCUCCCAUCGAUGGCUGCUGCCUGCAGCAUAUGUGAUAAACGGUUGUACUCCCUCUGUCCCAUAACUACACUAGUGUCAAAAAGCGUCUUACAUUAUGGGACAGAGGGAGUAGUUUUUUUGUCGUCUGUGAAUCGUCCGCAAGCGGUCGUCCGUGUAGCACUGCUGUUGAUGUUAUUUUGUGAACUUAUCGAGGAUAAAUCUAGGUUUGAACUUUCCACUGCGAAUUUACUGUUGCAUUAAUCUACUUUGAUGUUAUUGUGUGAACUUAUCACUGAGGAUAAAUCUAGAUAUGCACCUUCCCACUUGAACCUAUGCAAGAUAUUCUCAGUAUUGUACCCUGCGUGGAUAUUCUCAGUAUUAGCACCCUGCGUGGAUAGUCCUUACUGCUUUCAAUCUCAUUUAGACCUUAUCCAUUACUGGCAAUAAGCCUAUUAUUUCCUUUUUUUUUCAUAAGUUGAUCUCUCCUGAAUUGAUGUGUAGUUAACAGUGAUGUUUGCUGUUUUCUAAAGAAAUUUUAAUUUGUUUUAAGCACAAUCAACGUUCUAUGUUUGAUCCUGGAGUUGUUUGUAUGUGUCUCUUACAGGUUGCAUCACCACCAAGGAGCUGGGAACAGUCAUGCGUUCGCUGGGGCAGAACCCAACGGAGGCUGAGCUCCAGGACAUGAUCAAUGAAGUCGACGCUGAUGGCAACGGCACCAUUGACUUCCCAGAGUUCCUCAACCUGAUGGCCCGCAAGAUGAAGGACACUGACUCAGAGGAGGAGCUCAAGGAGGCCUUCAGGGUGUUUGACAAGGACCAAAACGGCUUCAUCUCUGCUGCUGAGCUCCGCCACGUCAUGACGAACCUCGGCGAGAAGCUCACCGACGAGGAGGUGGACGAGAUGAUCCGUGAAGCCGACGUCGACGGUGAUGGCCAGAUCAACUACGAGGAGUUCGUCAAGGUCAUGAUGGCCAAAUGAGCACCGUGCUCCGUGCUCCCAAGCAGGAGGAGAAUUGUGCAUUGCAUAUUAGUUUAAGAUGCAACUCUUAUUUGAUCGAUUUCCAGUUAAGCAUCCUACCUAGCUGUAGCUGCUAAAGCGGAUCGGACGACGCAAUUCCUGCUAUGUUCUCCAGUGUGUUUCCAGACCUCUUGUGUUUUAUGUGAACUUGUGUCCUCCCUGGUGUAUCCUGAUUGCUGUUGGGCCCCGUUUGUAGUAUAUUUUUUCAUCAACUUCUGCUUCACUCUUCUAGUAUCAAUGGAAAGCCGGUGUUUCGUAAUUCUUUGACUCUUCAUUAAUUUUACAGAUGUUAUCCUGAGCUGUGGUGCGUGCUUUCGCUUGUGAAUGGCAGAUGAAGAUACAAUUGAUGUAUGUGAUGCUGGAUGAAAUUUGAAAUUUAAAUUUAGCCUUCACAGAAAAGUAUCAGGCUUAAAUGUGCUGCUGGGUAGGUUGCAACCAACAAUUGCUGGAUGAUAGCAACGUUGCAGCCUGUGCCUGUGAGGAGUAGUAGGUAGCAACUACCACCGUGCUCAUGGUCCUCUUAAGGCCUGGAAUUCCAUGUGCUUGUGGAAGAGUUGAACACUUGCACAUGGAGCAGGAGAAGAAGCUCAAGGUGCUCUGCCUCCAUGGCUUCCGGACGAGCGGCGGUUUCCUGAAGAAGCAGAUCAGCAAAUGGCACCCUUCCAUCCUCCAGCAGUUCGACACGGUUUCUUCCCUCGACUCGAUGAUAGAUCCUGUUUAAGCGCUUUUCGCCUUUUUUGCUUUGGUUUGAUCCCAAGUUCAAUUCUGCUGGGUUUUUCAGGUCUUCCCUGAUGGCCAGUUCCCAGCUGGGGGGAAAUCGGACAUCGAGGGCAUAUUCCCCCCACCAUACUUCGAGUGGUUUCAGUUCGACAAGGUAUUCUUCAGUACUCCCUCCGUAAACUAAUAUAAGAGUGUUUAGAAUACUAAAAUAGUGAUCUAAACGCUCUUAUAUUAGUUUACAGAGGGAGUAGAAACCAAGACUGAAAUCAGCACUUCAUCUAGCCUCAGUUUGGUUCCCUGCUAGCAUCACUCAUGUGCUCCUAUGCAGGAUUUCACCGAAUACACAAAUCUGGAAGAGUGCAUUGCCUAUCUCUGCGAUUACAUGGUGAAAAACGGGCCUUUCGACGGCCUGCUUGGAUUCUCCCAGGUAGGAAACUACUUUUUUCCAAAAGAACCACAUCCCAACUGUUUGAGGCGCCUGUGGCAACACAGGAUCAAACAUAGUUGUACUACUGUGUUUUAGUUCAUCUUAUUGACUUCCCUUUGCUUCCAGGGUGCAACACUUUCAGCCCUUUUGAUAGGCUACCAAGCACAGGUACUCCUCUUGAACUCUCAGAUUCUGCAAACUUUUGAGUCCUCGAGAUAAGUUCCAGAGACAUACAAAGGAGCAAGAAACAACAGAUCGGAUCUGCAAAUAUUAAUAAAGCAACUGUGACAUCCAUCUACCGUUAUUAAACAACAGAGUCCCCGCGAUCUAGCAAUUUUAGUUAGUGGUAGAGAGUCUUUUGGCCCCUUUAUUAAUAGGAAACUCCUGCCCAUCCUGACAGAAUAGUAAAUUUUGAUAAAUUUAGAGUGUCACAUGCCACACUCUAGGACAGAGAAAGUUAUUCUUCAAGAGCAUAUGCCGAAGAUAUCAUAAACUUAUGCAGAACAUGUUGAUACAGGCUUGCAUCUGUCUCUAAGUUAACAAUUCUAAUAAGUAUUUACUAGGACAUGGAAAUUUGGCUCAAUGGAAGAUGUGCUCCAAACUAUCUGCUGCUUCUGGUUCCAUGUGGAUUCUGACUAGGUUGAAUGAUUUAGGGCAAGGCGCUGAAUGAUCACCCACCAAUUAAGUUCAUGGUGUCAGUAUCCGGGAGCAAAUUCAGGGACCCAAGCAUCUGCGAUGUGGCCUACAAGGACCUGAUCAAGGCGAAAUCUGUACAUUUCAUUGGAGAGAAAGACUGGCUCAAAGUACCUUCCGAGGAGCUGGCUUCUGCCUUUGCUGACCCUCUCAUCAUAAGGCACCCCCAGGGUCACACUGUCCCCAGGCUUGGUUUGCACUCUCCCCUGUCUUUCCAUGCGAAUAACUGUCGAAAUUUCUUGUGAAUAGAUUGAGAGGCAGAUUGUUUGUCUUUUACAGAUGAGGCAUCUGUGAAGCAGCUUUCUGAAUGGAGCGCAAGCAUCCUGGAAGAUCUCAAGAACGCAGAUGCUCCCAAGGCCUCAAAUUCAGAGAGCUCAGGAAAUAAGGACAAUGUCGGCGUGGAGUCAGCAGAAAACCUGAUGGAACAAGUUGCAGCUUGAGGCAGUAGCCGAACUUCGCUUGUUGAGUUGCGUUGGUGUUUGAAACCUGUUGCUUGCUUGCUUGCUGUAUCCAGAUGGUGGACCUUGUUCACCGUAUUAGCCUCAUUGCGAGAUGAGAAUAAAUCAGUCCCGAUUUGCCUGUUCUUUUCCUCCCAUGUUCAUCCUUUUUAUCUUGAUAUCAGUAUGCUCCGACGCUAGACAAACAAAAUUUUAACCUUUCCUUCUUCAAGGGAAAAAAGAGAGGCACUUGAACCUACUGGUAUAUAUUUCAUCUGCUUCUAGACCAUGAAGUCAUGAACCAGCCUAAAGCUCUAUAUACAUCGAGCACCCGACGAAUCUACAAAGAACAACGAACAACUAUAUACAUGAGAACCUAAAAUACUACUUCCUGAGAAAGACACUCUGCAGCUGCCUCAUGUGGAGCCUCUUUCUUCAGCCUCACUCUCGCAAACCCAAACAACAUCCUUUAUCUGUGCAGAGAGUGUUUUGUAGAACUGCGAACAAUUAAUGCCGAGUCAGUAAGGUUUACCCAUUGGAUAUAAUCUGAUUUGCAACCACAAGAAUAAACUCAAGGUUAAAAAAAGGCAUUCUUCUUUGUUGGGUACUGAUUGUGUUCUAAGUUGCUUGCUUAAAUUACGUGUGCGUAGUCCUUCAUGGGCACUUCCGCACUUGUAUAGAAUAAAAAAGCUUCAAGAAAGAAGCUACUGUACAUCUUAAUUUACUAGUGAAAUGAGUAAAAUAGCUAAAGAACCACAAUAUUCAAGAGCAGUACCUUCUGAAAUUCCAGAGUAUCUCCUUUUGCCUUUUUCAGCUCAACAACAAACAAAGAUGGAGCCACUUGGAAAACCUAGAAAUGUCAUCCUUGAUCAAUAAUUGCAUUACAUUGUGAAACACAUUUCUCAAACUGCUGUGUUUUUUUCUAACCUCAGUUGCAACAUUUAGGUUUCCUUUUCUUCCUGCUUCUAGGUUCUUCAUUCGCAUCUAGAAAGAACAAGAUAUAAAAUGAAAGGUUUAAGUCAUGGGGAUGACAAGGACAGUCUCAGUUACUCAUAUUCAGAUACUUCAAAUUUCGCACAACCUAUGUUAAAAGUCAUAUCCAUGGGAGGAUGCUUGGCAUUACCUUGUAGUUCUUCUUUUGGAUGUCAAAGCCAAGUGGCUUAGCAGCCUCUUCUAUCCGACUGAUGAUUUCUUCAGGAGGACAUUGCGAUGUAAAUCUUGUUUCUCUUCUGUACUUCUGUCAUUGGUUAACAAACUUUAGCAUGGCUUCUUGUGAAAAGUUGCCAUAAAUAUACAGAUGUUGUAAAGAGAUUCAUGGGACACAAUGCUGGAACAAUUCCUAACCUUAUCAGCUUCAAAAAAAUUGCGUAGGUUCAGUCCUUUAUUCAGUGAUAUCAACUCGAAUGCGUUCAUCGAAGCUGGCUGCCCUUCCAUUUCCUCCUCAACUUGUUUUUCCUGGAAACCAUAGUAACCAUCCAUAUUAGUAAUAUUAACUCAGCCAUAAAGGCUAACAGCUUUUCCAGUGAAAAUAAGAUUGGUUAACUCACUUCUGAGUCUCCGAAAGCAGCAUCAACAUCAUCCAAACUAGUUUGAUGUUUCUCAUCAAAAACAGGUGGCUUAUAUCCUUUUUUGAACCAUGGGUCUUUCAAUAGUUGUGGGAUAGUUAUGCGCUGGUCAACGACAAUGAAGAACCGAGUAAGAAAGAACUCCCUAAGUAAUGUAGUCAUAGACCAAAAAAAGUGCAGAGCCACCACUUGUGUUGUAUGGAAGCAGUUCUGUUGACCUUUUGGCUGGCUACUUUCAAAUUUCAGAAAUGGAAUGUGAAGUAAAAAAAGCUUACAGUAGAAGGAUUGGGAUCCAGAAUCCUGGGAAUCAGCCUUUUAGCUCCAUCAGAAAACCAAGAGGGACAAGUAAACUGAGCUCCAGAGAUCUGUCAAGAGCAAGAGAGUAAAUGCAAAUGUACAGCCAGCAAUAUUGGCAAUUAACGUAUUUUCUUAUUCCCUCUAUCUUACCUUUUUAUAAAGGGCUGAGACGUUGUCAUCCUCAAAAGGCAGAUAUCCAGCAAGCAUCACAAAAAGAAUUACCCCACAAGACCAAAGGUCUGCAAGCGCACCAUUAUAGCCCUUAUCUUGGAUAACCUGGAUAUUGGGUAGCAUUAGAUUUUAGGCAUGUUCAUUCCUGGUUAAAACAGAAUCACUGCAAAUGUAUAAGGACCAGUUACCUCGGGAGCAACAUAGUUCGGUGUCCCACAGGUAGUAUGUAGUAACCCAUCAGCCUGUUGAGUUGAAGUAAUCGGAGGUUACAGUUUAAUAAGUUAGAUGACAUCAACAAAAACUACAGAGAUGCAAUCAAUUGUGUGGUCUAUAAGAUUGUUAUGUGUUAUUACCUUCGCCUGCUCAGAUAUCGCACUCAAGCCAAAGUCUGAGACUUUGAGGUUCCCAGCAGUAUCAAGCAACAAAUUCUCUAGCUGGCAUACAUAAAACAUCCAUUUGUCAGUUUCAUGUUUCGCUAAACCAGAUACAUAAAUUGGAACCAAGGGGUUGAGUGGUCGGCGAUGUACCUUCAGAUCUCGGUGGUAUACACCCCUGCUAUGGCAAUAAUCAACAGCGUUGAUCAACUGCUGAAAGUAUCUGCGGGCUUCAUCCUCCUUCAAGCUCCCACGGGCGGCCUGGUUAUGAAGUUAGAAGAAAUUAAUAAAAGCGUCGUGUAAAAAAUAUCCUGCUAACUCCCAUCAUGGAGAAAUACAAAACAAGAGAUGCAGUAGUACUAACGAUGAUAUCAUGGAGCUCCCCACCCGUAACGUAUUCCAGAACAAUGAAAAUUCUCGCCUUGCUUCCCAUGACCUGUUACAGUGAAGUCAAAUAGUUGGUUGUGAACUGUAGAUUUGAAUGUAAAUAUUUCUAAUGUAAGUAGGCGAUAUCAUACUUAAAAUAAAAUGCCAAAGUUUGGCCUUUACCUCAUGGAGGCGGACAACAUUGGGGUGCUGUAUCAGCUUCAUCGUACAGAUUUCUCGUCUAAUCUGCCAAAAGAGUUCAGAGCGGCGUCAACAUCAAGGUAGAGCAUAAGCCCGUAAGCUAGCCCCCUUUCUUGACUAUAUUUAGAAUGAAAUACAGGAGCAGUUAUUUUUGCGCAUAAUGACAGCUCAGUUCUAGUAGAAAGCAUGAGCCAGGGAACUUUCUCUAUGCUGUGAAAUAUCCAGGAAACAGAGCAUUCAUGCACAGGAAAUUAUCAGAAAAUGGUCUGACCUGCUCGACCAACCCGUGCUUGUGAACCUUGGCCUUGUCAAGGAUCUUGAUGGCGACAGGAUCCCCAGACUCGGUGUCCUUGGCGAACCGGACCUUGGCGAACGUCCCUUCCCCGAUGGUCCGCCCGAGCUCAUACUUGCCGACUCGUCGCCGCACCUUGAGCGAGGCUUGCCUCCUUGCCUUGUACAUCCUCCAGGUCAGUCUUUCCUCAAGCCAGUCUCCGAAGACCUGCCAUUUUUGAACAAUUUAAGAUGUGGUGGAACCGGAAAAUUCAGCACCCAACACAGGCAGCAUGAGACAGCUCAGGCAAGGGUGGAGGAGGAGGAGCAGGACAAAUGCUGCAGCAUUAAUUUGACCAUAUAUAUAAUAACGCUUUUCAUUCAUGACUUAGAAACUGAAACCAAAUCGGCAACGUGCAAGCUUCAUCGCCUGCAGCUUCCUGGAAGCUGCCUGCCGAAACCUUUAUGCAUUUAUGGUGGCUAAUUAAUUUCAGUGGUUACUGCUUCGGGGCGAAACGUCAGCAGUCGGAUCUCGCCGUUAAACGUCUCCGGAUACUUGCGUGGUUCACGAAGCAUGCCGCGCGCUAGCUAGGGCCCUUGAAAUCUCAGACGGAUAUUUUCUGCCUGGCGCUCUGAUGUAAGCCUCGGGAAGGAUUUAGAAAACUGAAUGUCAAAACUGCUGAAAAAACCCAGGCCAUGGAGAUUAACCAAGAAAGGAUGAAGAUUUCGUGCAGCAUCUGAAACGGCACUGGGAAGGGAACAGGGGCAAAACGAAUGGCGCGCGAGAGAGAAACCCCAGCCCCAACCCGGAAAGCUCCAUGGCGUCAUUUCUUUCCCUUUCCCCAAGCGGAAGUGGGAGAGACGAGGAUGCAAGUCUGUGCUGACGGAAUGUUGCACGUGCAGGGACAUCGACACGCAAGCCGGCCGGCCGGGCAGGAGCCGGAAUCCCCUCCCCGGAAUGCUAGCCGGAGAGAGGGCUCCCCGCCCUUUCUUGGGUCCCGACGGACGGACGGAAGGAAAGAGGCGAGAAUUCCGGUGAAUCAAUGCGGGCGGCCGGGGCGAGAAAGAGGGAUCUCUUGGGAGGGGGCGUACCUUGUUCGGAGAGUCGCCGCCGGGGAGAGGAACGGAGAGGAGGGGGCCACGGCUCACGAGGAGGGAGGAGAAGGAGGCAGCCAGCACCAGCAGCCAGCGCGUGCGGGAUGGAGAUGGGGGGAUGAUGAGGGAGGGAGGGAGGGAGAAGCUCGCAGUCGCGGGGGCGGGGGUGGGGGCAGGGUCGCCUCCUGGCCUUUCCUUUUUGUAAGGCGCGUGGCGACGGACCGGACAAACGGCCCCCACCGUUUGCCUUGCCCCUCGUACCUGCACCGCUGAUGGGAAUGGGAUGCCAUCAUUAAUAAAUCUAAACCACUUCUUCUAUAAGAAAAUAGGGAAUUUGGGUUUCUGGCUUUUCUACCUUUCCAAGCAGUGGCGCCCGUUCAUGCUGGCCCCUUGCGCGGCGUCUCGUGCGGCGUGUAUUAUGAGACGGAGGGAGUACGCCGAGUUUUCGCUUGAUGUUUCGUGAACCGUGGCGAGAGAGAUGUCGGCGUGCUCUGGAUCACGGCUUGCAAGUUGUGUUAUCGCUAGAUCAUUUUGGCGAGCGAACAUGUGAAGUUCCUUAAUUGGUUGGCAGUCAUUGCUUGAUUUCGGUUUUGGAGUGAGCGAGAGAGGGGGUGGGUGGGGGGGGGUGCUUAGGCUUGAUCACAUUUUGUCAUGACAAUGUGUUACUACUAUUGACAUACUUUCAACCCCGGUGUGCCGCUCCCGCCAAUGGCUUUCCGAGACCUCCUCCCACCUUCAGCGGUUGGGUCUACGUGGCGGAGGCGUGAUCCACGAUCCACGUGGAACACCGCCACCGCAACCCCUCCCCCGGGCCCUAUUGGUGCGCCAAGGGUACGGUCUACGAUUGGUGGGAGAAGUGCCGAUAGCGUCCACGAGGUAGCAUCGUCACCUUUUCGGUGCGAUUCCGAGGAUACACGGCAUCGAAUGUUUGGAAAUGAUAUAACCAAGAUGGAUCAUAGAAACAAGAGCUUCCAACAUCAGAUGUCGCCUACAAUUUCCCCAUAAUGGUAUAUAUAUUUUUAUGAUGGUGGCAAUGGCCCUUCCGCCGCCAGUGGCAUUUUCCUUAGCAAGUAAUUCCUUGCCUCGUAGAAUGUUUUUUCAUCACUAUUGACCCACAAGGACGGCGCUUUCCCUUUAUCACGUCCAUGUGGUCACGAAGACCAGACUUCAGCAUUGCACUAUCGAUUGUAGUCUUUUCCUGUGAACGUGCAGUGCUCAUGCUGGAUUUAAGUUUUGUUUGUGGAUCUAUGCAUGUUAAAGAUCGAAUCGUAUCUUCUGCUCCCUCCGUCACGCAAUAUAUGAUCGUUUCUCAAGCCAAAACAUAGGUUGAAAAACGAUAAUAUAUUGUGGGACGGAGGGAGUUUUAGUUGCCUCUUUUGUGUGAGGGCUGGCUGAUCAUAUGUAGUUGGGUUUCUAAGCUUUUUCUAAGGGGGGAGAUGGUCCAUUUUCAAGGGAAAGAGAGAGAUAAAGAAAAGAAGAGCCUGUUGAGGCUCGAUCACGUCGCGCUGUGGUUUUCGGUUACCAGCUGCGGCGACCCCGUUUACUCAAUUGUUUAUCUGAAUUAUACUAUGACGAUCGUGAUUAGCAUGUAGAGACUUUUUUAAAAAAUUCGCUUACCAAAGCAUUGACAUUCUUUGGCGAUUGGCGCGUCGAUCCAGUGGAUCGCCAAUCGGAUAUUCUUUAAUUAGGGUUUAAUCUCUCUCGGCUAGGCUAGCUAGAAGCUGGUCAGACCAGAUCCGCGCAAGAAAUCCACUCCAUAGCGUACACCUAUGUAUCCAAGACAUGGUUUAUUCCCUCCAUCCACCCGAAAAAAGAAAGACAUGCUUUUAUUCUUUCCUCUUUGCGAAUAUUGUAGUGAGCACAUUUUAAUUGAGAUUACGACCAGCGUUUAGAAAAUGAUUAGGAGCUAGCAGGACUGCUUAGAAGGAUGUUUGGACUAGGAGUGUUUAGAAAAUGAUCGGUCCUCGGAAAUCAGAUCAAAUAUACAUAUAUCUCUGAGGCGUGCAACAUGCUCGGCAAAAUAUAUUCAUGGCAAAAUAAAAGGAGAAGAAGCUAGCAGACAUGCUUGGCAGAAUGAAGGUAUGAUCUUAUCUUUUUAGGGUGAAAUUUCUUGUGGUCGCAUUGUGUUCUAACCCGCACCGUCUGCAACCGGCACAUGCACGCAUGCAUGCCGUGGCACCAGCGGUGAACAGUUAGAUAGAUAUUUGUUCUGUUUGUCUCAACUGUUACUGUUACUCCAUCCCAAAGAUCCAAUCAAGCUUAGCUAACUGACCGGCCACAUGGUUGUUCUGUUUGUCUCAGCUAUUACAGUACAAAAUUUGUCAUUAACUGGUCUCUCUCUCGUGGCAAAUAGUUAAGGACCAACUCAAAAAACAAAAAAGAUUAGGGCAUCUCCAGUGUGGACUCUCAAACCAGCCGGCAUCUCCAGUGUGGACUCUCAAACCAGCCGCAUCUGUUCGGACGUGUUUUGCCAUUCAACGUGGGCCAGUCCGGACGUCCUUUGGGGGGCUUUGCGGUAGUCUGGACCGCUCAAGCGCCCGACCGCGAGCGCCGCCCGCUGCACACGCCUUCUCCUUGCAUUGUAACGACAUCCAUCUGCCCGCCUACCUCCAUUAAACCAGCGUGUGUACCGAGGAACCUACUCUGGCGCCCCGAGCGCCACAUGUCCGGCCCUGUGCUGGCCGACAUAAAACACCUCUCCGGUUGGCGCCUCGCACCCACCUGCUAUUUAAACGCGGCCAGGCGCCGGGCAAGAACCACACCACACUUUCGCUCUCCAUCUCCUCCUUGCACGCCUCACCCGCCAUGGCAUCCGGAUCGAGAGCCCUGUGGGGCGGCCUCUCCGGUGAGCAGAAAAAGGAGCUCUCUGGCAUUGCAGCUGUCUGGGUGGUCUGGCGAGCCAGCCGGAUACAUGCUAGCUUGCCAGCAAGCUCUCCGAAGCCAGCACCACCGCCAUCGCUAGGACGUCCUCGCCCCUCUAGGCUGGCCAACGCCAUCUACCGGCAAUCUGCCACGAGCGAUGGCGGCAACUCCUCCGACCUGCGAAGAAAGAAGCCAUGUUGCGGAGUUUGACGUGCUGGCGGAGGAAUUUGACUGGGGUACCGACACCGACCUUGCCAACUCCGCGUCGGCGACGCCCGCCGCUGCCGCCGAUAGCGAGGAAUAGUAGGCCAUGGGACUAUGGGAGGCCGCUACCGCUUGGGUCUUGCCCAACGCCGGUGAAGCAUAUCCCUCCGAGGCUCAUGGCGGUCCGGUGAGCUUGCUGCCGGACAUGGAAAAGACAUGUCGGGGGAAUGGGGCUUCGCCACGGCCAGCGAUAGACUAGGUUAGAAUAGCCUAGUAUAGUUCGGGAAGUGCAUGGAUGAACCCAGGUACAUAUGAACCCACUUCGAAAAACAUAUUUCUAAAUGCUAAAAAAAUCUGAAAAUGGUUGCACGGAUACAUCUUCAUGUUCUAUGUGUGUGCAUAAAGUUUCACGGGAAAAUAACCUUUUUUGUGGCGUGUGCAAAAAAGAUAAAAAAUUAUGUCGUGAAACGCUAUUUAGAAACACUGAAAUUUGUCUUUUUUACAUAGACAAAACAAAAAGAUAUUUUUUCACAAAACUUUGUGCCGCGCACACACAUUUGCGCACAUGUCUGCGUGAAAUUUUCUUUUGAAUUUUUUUGACUUUUUAAAAUGUGCUUGAAGUGCAUUUUUUGAGAAGUGGGUGCAUAUGCCCAUGGGUGCAGGAGGUGCCCUCUCAGUAUAGUCCGAUAUAGUUUGAUUGAAAUAUGUCCGAAAUACAAAUAUUUUCAUUCUGUUUAGAUGAAAAUGCCGGGUUUGCAUGCGAUUCACCCGGCUAGUAGAAAUUCGGUUUGGAUUGUAUGCGGCUACAGUUGGAUGGCAGGCUACCGUAUCAGUAUCAUAGACCGGUCUCUUCUGAUCUGCGGCGAAUGUGGUGUCUGAUUUAAGGGUCAACCUCGGAGAUGCCCUCAACGAGAAACUCGUCCGUCGAGGGGCUUACUUACGGGCUGUUGCAUGCACGUACGGUGCUACGGUGAAAACAGGAGGCAGAGAAAACAGCAGACAACAUUUCCCAACUGACACACACGUAGCCUGGCUGGCUAAUCAACCACGCAUUAAUCCUACCAGAUACACAUUUGCCACGGAAGUAAUUAGCAAUCCUGCCAGCGAGACAACAAGUAUGCACUUUUCCGGAUUGUUUGUUAGUGGGAAGUAAUACUCCCUGUGGGUACGACUUUAGUUAGUAGGAAGCUUCGUGGAAGGUGCGCGCGCAGGAGGCGACGACCGCCCGGAGGUGAAGCCAUGCAUGGCCUCAUCGAUCACUCGCCUGACUGGCUGUAUCUGGAGCUGGGACGCAGGCCGCUUUGGAGCUUGCUGCAUGCAGGCGGUGGCGGGAGCGGUGCGGCGCGGGCGGGUGCGCGCGUGGUGAGGGAGGGAGAGGGGCGCGAGCUGCCGUGCGAGUUCGUUGGGAGAAUCUCAAUCUUGUGUGCGUCCANNNNNNNNNNNNNNNNNNNNNNNNNNNNNNNNNNNNNNNNNNNNNNNNNNNNNNNNNNNNNNNNNNNNNNNNNNNNNNNNNNNNNNNNNNNNNNNNNNNNNNNNNNNNNNNNNNNNNNNNNNNNNNNNNNNNNNNNNNNNNNNNNNNNNNNNNNNNNNNNNNNNNNNNNNNNNNNNNNNNNNNNNNNNNNNNNNNNNNNNNNNNNNNNNNNNNNNNNNNNNNNNNNNNNNNNNNNNNNNNNNNNNNNNNNNNNNNNNNNNNNNNNNNNNNNNNNNNNNNNNNNNNNNNNNNNNNNNNNNNNNNNNNNNNNNNNNNNNNNNNNNNNNNNNNNNNNNNNNNNNNNNNNNNGGUUGAAACAGCUGCCGCUGGGCAAGAGCGCCGGUCGUAAAUUAUCUUCAUCAGGGCAUCUCCAACGCCCACACUUAAACCGCUCCGGGCCGAGCUGUCUCGACGUGUUUUGACAUUCAACGUGAUCCUGUAUUCGUCCGCUCGACGGUCCGGACGUCUUUUUCCCCAAGCCGAAGAAGGGUAUACGGGCGUCCGGACCAAUGCCAUGUCUGCUUCCGACAAACCUGGCCCACCCAAACUUCUCUCCCUUGCCCGUGCCCUUUCCCGCCCGAAGCCAGCUGCCCGCUUUCAUGCCGCUCUAGAGCGGCCGCUCCGCAUUGACGCUGGCUUAGAGCGGACGUGACCUCUUGCUGGUGCCGAUAUUGAAACGGCUCGCCGGCCAAGGGCGCCGCCCGGGGCACGUCUCGGAUGUACACGACUGUUAAAUUCCGGAGGGACAGGACGGGUAUCUAUCACGCCCGUUUAAUGCCCCCCUCCCAUAUGCCGCCAUUAAAUAUGCUCGUUGGUCGAGAGACCAAUUCCUACGUCCACACAUUGACGCACCCGGAUGCUUGGCCCUACUGGCAUCCACUAUUUAAAGGCGGCCACACCCGGCUCACAGCACACCACAACCCAUCCGCUCGACAUAUUCCUCCCGUGCACCACAUCCGCCAUGACCGCGAGGAGGAACACUCUGUGGGAGAGCCUCUUAACGAAGCAAAAACACGAGGUAGCCACCGUUGGAGCCGCCUGGCAGAGCCGCCGCGCUAGGCAGGUAGAGGCCGGCAUGUCGGCCAGCUCUCGAGAGGUCUCCGACAACGAUCCCACGACGGAGACUGGCUCUAAUGACGACUCCGCGUCGCAACCCUUGCCGGUGCAUACCGGCUUGACGAUGGAGCAGGCACAAGCACACUUCAACACCGCCAUGGCGGAGGAGUAGUCGGCGCCCGCGCCUAUGUCGUUGUUCCGGCAGGCACAUGAGGAGCAGUGGUACAAAAUGUUCCUCCUCGAGCAGCACCGGCUGGCGGAGGGCUAGAUGAACGGCGAGUGCGCGAGCGAGGAAGCCGUGGUGGCCAUGGCCACAGUGAACUCCAACUUCGUUGCCGAGCAGCAGGCGCUCUACGAAGCCGCCCGCACUCAAGCUGUCGUUUGGAACAUAUAGGUGGCGCAGCUGGACAUGGAGGCGUCGUAGGCGAUUGCGAACGAGAACGUCGGCAGCUCCACGUCCUACACGUCGCCAGACGCUAUUGACUGCACCUGUGGGAGGACGAGCAUCCCGCCCCCUUCACUUCCAUCGCGGACCUUAUGUUCACCGACGACAGACAGGUCGCAGACCCCGACGAGGAUGAGUAGGGCAUGGGCGGCGACGGGGCCUCGAGUAACAAGUGGGCCAGUCUAUCUCCCAUGUUCUACUCUUCUUGGCUGGCGGCCACACCUUCAUUUUGCGGGUCUUAUUACCGCCGGUCAUGGAGACGACAAAUGGAGGGCAUGGUCGCCAGAAGGAAACAACAAGGCUUAGACGACUGGCACGGUCGUAUGCUAGGUUUAGGUCCGGUCCCUUUUUUACUGAAAAAUGUCCGAUAUUUAAUGAAUAUGCUCCGGUUUAGAUGAAAAUCAUCCGGUUUAUUGAAAUCCGGCUUCAAAUGUAUGCAACUACGGUUGGAUGGCUGGCNNNNNNNNNNNNNNNNNNNNNNNNNNNNNNNNNNNNNNNNNNNNNNNNNNNNNNNNNNNNNNNNNNNNNNNNNNNNNNNNNNNNNNNNNNNNNNNNNNNNNNNNNNNNNNNNNNNNNNNNNNNNNNNNNNNNNNNNNNNNNNNNNNNNNNNNNNNNNNNNNNNNNNNNNNNNNNNNNNNNNNNNNNNNNNNNNNNNNNNNNNNNNNNNNNNNNNNNNNNNNNNNNNNNNNNNNNNNNNNNNNNNNNNNNNNNNNNNNNNNNNNNNNNNNNNNNNNNNNNNNNNNNNNNNNNNNNNNNNNNNNNNNNNNNNNNNNNNNNNNNNNNNNNNNNNNNNNNNNNNNNNNNNNNNNNNNNNNNNNNNNNNNNNNNNNNNNNNNNNNNNNNNNNNNNNNNNNNNNNNNNNNNNNNNNNNNNNNNNNNNNNNNNNNNNNNNNNNNNNNNNNNNNNNNNNNNNNNNNNNNNNNNNNNNNNNNNNNNNNNNNNNNNNNNNNNNNNNNNNNNNNNNNNNNNNNNNNNNNNNNNNNNNNNNNNNNNNNNNNNNNNNNNNNNNNNNNNNNNNNNNNNNNNNNNNNNNNNNNNNNNNNNNNNNNNNNNNNNNNNNNNNNNNNNNNNNNNNNNNNNNNNNNNNNNNNNNNNNNNNNNNNNNNNNNNNNNNNNNNNNNNNNNNNNNNNNNNNNNNNNNNNNNNNNNNNNNNNNNNNNNNNNNNNNNNNNNNNNNNNNNNNNNNNNNNNNNNNNNNNNNNNNNNNNNNNNNNNNNNNNNNNNNNNNNNNNNNNNNNNNNNNNNNNNNNNNNNNNNNNNNNNNNNNNNNNNNNNNNNNNNNNNNNNNNNNNNNNNNNNNNNNNNNNNNNNNNNNNNNNNNNNGGGAGGGGGAGACACGAGAUGUUCCCACGUCUGUGUGCCACCUCCUAAUAUUCCUCGCCGGAGUCUAUCCUGUGGACGACGCCGGACAUGGACUGGCCGAUCUGGUGGUCGUUGCGGCCGGGUACGAACCAAGCGGGCGGCACGACGGACGCGGAGCUGACAAGGUCUUCUGCCCGUGCCUCUUUUUUGUCUGCCUCCACGUCUAUCUUUGUGAACCAGGCGUUAGCCUCCGCCCGCAGGACGCACAACCACCAUCGCUCGCGGCGGAUAUCGCGGGCGCUUCGCAUAGACUGGUACAAUGUCGGUUGCUCAUCCUGGAAGCUCAGAUCAUCCACUGGAAGCCCAGAUCAUCCAUGAACAUUGCAUGACGACGUUAUUGUUUGCCUGCUGACGGAGCUAAAUCCAUCAGAUCUCAGGUAGAGGGUCCCGAACUAAGGGUGUAGAGACCAUGGUAAUGAGGACACGAGAUUUUACCUAGGUUCGAGCUCUCCGAAGAGAUAAAACCCUACGUCCUGAUUGUGUUUAUUGCUUUCGGAUGGAGUACAAAGUACAAAUGAUCUACCCUGAAAUUGGUGUGUAUCUAGAUGUUCUAUCGACUAGCCCAACCCCGGUUUAUAAAAGUUACCGGAGGCCUAGGAUCAUAAAAGUCCUAAUCGACUGCGUUGAUGGAGAGGAGUCCUCCAUGGAUAAGUAGUACUUGUCAUGAACGACAAGGCUUCUUGAUUUUCCUAGUAGAUUGCCAUGGGCCGUUGCGGCCAAGGACAAAAUCGACAAGGAGGUCCUCAACCCGGCUCACUAGGCCGGGAGUCGACAUGAUGAGAGGCCCCUAGCCGGGAGCCGUGGAGCCGCUUGUAGUAUGAAAUAGAGGGAGUAUGUCGAGUUUAUGUUUAAUAUAUUGUGCACCACGAGAGACGUUGGUGUGCUCCUAACAACGACCUACAAGUUUUGUUAUUGUUAGAUCUUUUUGAUGAGCCAAUAGGUACUAUUCCUUAAUUGGCUUGCGGUCAUGGCUCAUUCUCGACUUUGGAGGAAGGGAAAUAUAUAUGGAAAGAGUUUGUUUAGCCUCAAUCAUAUUUUUGUCUUGAUCAUAUUUUCGUGGUGAAAAUGUAUUACUAUUUUUGAACGGUUUUUAAUUUCUUUUGAACUGAAUGUAUUACUAUUGUUGACAACCUUUCUAUCGACGGGAUACAUUCAAGCUGGCGUGUCGCUUCCACUAGCGGCUUCCGAGAAACUCUCCCACCUUGGCAAGGGUUGCAGCUACAUGACAUACGUGUGAUCUGCGAUCCAUGUGGAAUUACCCGCCUCUCUCCACCACCACCCUCUUCCCCCUCCCGGACUUAUUGGUGCACCAAGGGUGUGGGCUAUGAUUGGUGGGGGAAGCGUCGAUAGCGUCCACAAAGUUGCGGCGUCAUGCCCUUCUGAGGUACGUGGCGUGGAAAUGAUAUAACGAAGGCGGAUUUUAGAAACUAGAGCUUCCCAUGUCACAUGCCGCCUACAUUUCUCAAAAAGGUAUAAAUAUUGUGAUGGUGGCAGUGAACCUUCCACCAUCAGUGGCGUUUCUGUUCGCAAAUAGUUCCCAAAAUGCUACACCUACGUAACAAGUAAGCUCCGUAAUUUUCCUUCCUCUAAACUAAUCACCCCCCUGAAUUUCAUGGGGUGGGCCUGGGCCAUUUUUCUUUCAGUUAAAUCAGGCCACAUCAGCUCAUACAUAAGUUUUGUAAUAGUUGUUAUGUAGGUGUAGGAAAGCUCUUCCCAAAAAUGCUACACAACGACUUUUAAGUUCUGAUGAGGAUCUAUUUUACCGAUCAAACCCCCCACUAAAAAAAAUCAUACUUUCUACAUAUUAAUUACUAUUUUUGCUAGGGCUGAUCAUAUAAAUAUAAGUGGAAUGGUUCAGUUUCAAGAAGGGGAGAGGGGGAGACGGAGGGUAUGUUAGGCUCGGUCACGUUGUGUUGUGGUUUUUGGUUACCAAGCUAUGGCGACCCUGUGCAUUUCUUUUUCUGAACCAUACUAUGACUAUCGUGAUUAGCAUGCAGAGACUUUUUAAAAAAUAUAAAAGCAUUGACAUUCUUUAGCGAUUGACGCGUUGGAUCGAUCCAAUCCCCAUCGGAUUAUUCUUUAAUAUCUCUCUCUCGCUCGCUCGGCUAGCAGCUGGUCCGAUCAGAUCGAUUUGGUAGUGCAGCCGUACAACUCUGUAUCCAGGGCAUGUUUUAUUCGAGGCUAGCUCUGCGUGUGAAUGCAACUAUAUAGUGUACAAUACUUGAAAAAGAUCGAAAUGCAUAUUCUGUGAGUGGGUGAUGUACCUAUUAAGACCGACUAAUAGGGUUUGAUUGGGACUUUGAUACGAGAUCAAAUAUAUAUAUGUGUGCUCUGCGUGCAACAUGCUAGGCAGAGUGUAUAUACUCAUGGCGAAAUAAAAGGGGGAGAAGCUAGCAAACAUGCAUGUUUGGCAGAAGGAAGCAGACAUGUUAUCUUGGGGUGAAAUUUCUGUGGUCACGUUCGUUCUCACGGCACAUGCCUGGAUAGUCAAAACCACACCGUAGGCACCAUCUGCAACCCGCACAUGCAUGCAUGGCAGCGGUACCUGGGUGAACAGAUAGACAUUUGUUCUGUUUGUCUCAACUAUUUACUGAUUACUCUGUCCCAAAGCGGAUAUUGUCUUUGGAGGCCGAGCUUCAUGGAGCUCGGUUUAAAAAAAUUUGAAUUUUGUCAAAUUUCAUAUUUUCUACAUUUCAAAAAAUUCUGAAAAAACACACACAUAUACAUGAAGGCAUAACACACAUGUGUGUAAAUUUCCAGGGCAAAAUAAGUUAAAAAUGAGGGUUGUGCCAAAAAGACAAAUCUGAAGCUUUUUAACACAUGAUACUAUUAAUCCUCUCAGACCAUGAAUUUGUCUUUUUUGUACAGGUCAUAUUUCAACUUUUUCAUUCUAAAAUUUUACACACAUAGACAUAACAUACUUGUUUACUUACACAAUUUUUUUCAGAUUUAUUUGAAACCGAAAAGUUUGAAUUUUGAUUUGUUUUCAAAAAAAGGCCUCCAUGGCUCCCGGGAGCCAAACGUCCGCUCUCGUCCCAAAGACCCAGCUAACCUUAUCUCUUGUAAAAAGAAAAACUAACCUAAUCUAACCGGCCGACCUCUCCCCUCUAACACGAACAUAUAAAAUUCUUGUCACCGACUGACCCCUCUUCUCUCUACAAAGAAAAGACAAUCGUUACGGAGAGGCCCGUGGGUCAAGAAACUUACUUGCCGGGCAGUUGCAUAGCACGUAACUUCCUACGCAUAUGUUGGUACCAUAAGAAACAGUUGGUCCGGUCCUCAAAAAAAAAAAAGAGAAGAAGAAACAGUUGGUCCACCAAGGCAAGAAACUGAUAAAAUUAGUCGACGCUACACGUACGACCCAUAAAAAUAUUACUCUACAAUCCUUGUAAGACGCAUGACAUGAGCUGUUGGUUCCCUUCCCCUGUUUCAAUGUGAGCGGUCCAUGUUAGUAAGCGUCGUACAAGGAUCGUAUAGGAAAGUAAUAUCGUACACACAUCUUUUUUGUUUUCCUUUCGGCGAAAGAGAUAACAUUUUGUUUAACCCACCCACCCACACAAACAUUGAGUUAUCGACCAUGCAUUAUGUACUGAUGUAAGUAUCUGCCACGAAAAGCCAGGCAAUAACAAGUAACGUCACCAUUCUAAAUGUAUUAUUGCGUUGUUUUGUUUGUGUAUAUCUUGUAAGUAUCUACGGAGGCGCGCGGGUGCGGUGGUGCCGGUACGACUUUAGGAAGCUUCGUGGCAGGUGCGCGCGCGGCAGACGACGAGUCGAGACUAUGGAGCCAUGGGCACGUAGUAGUACUACGUACACGCGCGUAUGAUAAGCGCGAGGUUAGCUCAAAAAUGGCCGUGCAUGGAGCUGGGACGCAGGACGUUUUGGAGCUUGUUGCACGCAUGCACGCCGGAGCGGGAGCGGGGGGCGGUGCGGCCCGGCCCGGGCGGGUGCGCGCGUGGAAUGGGAGCGAGGGAUGGGGGCGCGCCGCCGUGUGAGCUCGUUGGAGGAAUCUUGUUGUGGGCGCCCGUCCACGGUCCACGGCUAGGCGAAACCACGUGCGGCGCGGAGCGAUUUUUUUUAAAAGAAUAACUUUAUUAAUUGGAAAUAACGAUUACAUUGUUUAUAAGAAAAGAUACAAUAUCGCUCAUAGGCUCCUCAAUCCACUCGUUUGUCUCGAAAACUCUCGCUAACCUAGCUAGUUCAUGAGCAACUCUAUUGGCUUCCUUAUUACAGUGUUCAAAACUAGAAAGUGAAAAGUCACAAGCCAAGAAAGAGCAAUCAUCUAAAACUGCUGCCGCCGCUCCCGUAGAUUGUCCUCCAUUCUUCAUUAUGUCAAUGACUUCCAUAUUAUCAGGAGUUUAUUACCAGGCGAUUGCAUCCCGCCUUUUGUGCCAGAGAUAAGCCAAAACUUAGAGCCAACGUUUCUGCUGUCAGAACGUCCACACACCAAUCAAUCUUUCAAUUUCCACCGAUGAUGGAAUUUCCUUUAUCAUCUCUAAGGACAGCUCUCGCUGUGCCCCUGUGCUGGUCAUGGUCAAAAGAUGCAUCUAUAUUAAGCUUAACAAAACCCAUAGGGGGCUUACUCCACCCCCCUCAUUUACUAGUCGCGUUAGGGGAGUUCGCUUUAACAAAAUUAGUUGUUAUAGCCCGAACCCCCGAGGAUGUGUGGUAUGCAUCUUGUAUCUUUCCCUCAUGGAUCGGCUUCCGUCUAUCCCACCAUAAAUACCACACGGUUAUAGUGAUCAUCACAUGUACAUUCUGGAAUCCCAAAUUUGAUAGGUCCUGAUCUGGUAAAAGGAGUAACAAUUCAAGUACCGCCUCACCCGCAUGAUCAAUAGCACAGGCUCUUUUUAUCACCUCAUUCAUCCCCAACUUAUCCCACACCUCCUUCGCUUUCUGACAGAGAAACAAAACGUGCUUUGCCUCUUCUGGUCCAUUCGAACAUGAUGGGCGGAUUUGCGAAAUUUUCAAGUGUCUAUUUGCAAGCGUAACACGACAUGGGAAGUUUCAUGUAAUGUACGCCAAAUGAAGUUCUUUACCUUUGCCAGACAAGAAAGUUUCCAAAUCUUAGACCAAACAUGAUUAACAUUGAUUCUACCCAUACCAUUUGUAUAUUGCAAUUUUCUCCCAUGUUGAUGAUUCCAUCCCGCCAAAUAAGCUGAUCGAACAGUGAACAAUCCAUUUUUUGUAUAGCUCCAAGCGAUGAAGUCCGACAUAUUAUGCAUAGAGAGAGGAAUGGCUAGCACUCAUUGAGCAUCAAUUGACCACAAAGUUUGCCACACCAAAUCUUCAUCCCAGAAGUUUGUGACUGGGUCAAUAAGAUCUGAAAGCUUUGACAGUAGGUGCCCACCUCUAGGAGUAAUAAUUUUCCUAUUUGCACAAUUCGGAAUCCAAGCAUCUUCCCAAAUAUCUAUGUUCUGUCCAUUUCCAAGUCGCCAGAUAUACCAAUUUUCAGUGAAUUAACUCCCGCCAUAAUGCUUUGCCACGUAAAGGAAGAUCCCUUUUUUAAGCCCGCAUUCAUCAAAUUGCCAUCGGGAAAGUAUUUAGCUCAGAAACUGAGAGGGCGGAAAUGGAUGUCAAAGUUGACGGUUAAAGAACGCAAAAACCACAGAGGUUAGUGACUUAGUGUUAAAAUCCGUGAUCGAGGUGGUUUGAUGCAGCGUGGUCAGCCGUCAGCAAGAAGCACCAAAGCAUCUUUUUUUUGCGAGAAAACUUCCGACCUAUUCAUCAAUGUCAAGGUAGUACAAAGAACACCAGAAGUGAAGAUUACAUCUAGGUCCAUAGACCACCUAGCGACGACUACAAGCACUGGAGCGAGCCGAAGGCGCGCCGCUGUCAUCGCCCUUCCCUUAUUGGAGCCGGGCAAAGAUUGUUGCCGUAGACAGUCAGAAAGUCGUCGUGCUAAGGCCCCAUAUGACCAAUGCACCAGAACAGCAACCGCCGCCAAUGAAGAGAAGCGUAAAUCGAAAGGACCCAAUCUGCAGACACACAUACAUUGACGAACAAAGACCUGAUCCAAGUGGAUCCACCAAAGACAAACGCUGACCCGAUCCCACGAGAUCCGUCGGAGACACACCUCCACACAUCCUCCAAGUACGCUAGAAGCCGUGCCGGGAUGGGGGCUAGGUGGGAAGGACCUUAUUCCAUCUUCAGAAAGUCGCCACCGCAUCGUCUUCCUGAGCAUGGUACAAACCCUAACAAAACUUAAGAAAACACCUAAAAAUAAGCCAUCCCGCCGGCAAGGGUCGGGAUCCACCGCGCCUCCAUGGUCCAAGAACCACAGGGGACGAGGCGGACCGGCGCUAGCACCGGUUAGAGGCAGGGAAACCCUAGCGCCUUGGUCACGGGAGGCUGAGACCGAAAGGUCGAGCGUGAAUCAUAUAGUAGAUAUGAUCAACAUAGUGAUGUUCACCAUUGAAAACUACUCCAUCUCACGUGAUGAUCGGACAUGGUUUAGUUGAUUUGGAUCACGUGAUCACUUAGAUGAUUAGGGAGAUGUCUAUCUAAGUGGGAGUUCUUAAUAUGAUUAAAUUGAACUUAAAUUUAUCAUGAACUUAGUACCUGAUAGUAUUUUGCUUGUCUAUGUUGUUGUAGAUAGAUGGCCCGUGCUGUUGUUCCGUUGAAUUUUAAUGCGUUCCUUGAGAAAGCAAAGUUGAAAGAUGAUAGUAGCAAUUACACGGACUGGGUCCGUAACUUGAGGAUUAUCCUCAUUGCUGCAUAGAAGAAUUACGUCCUGGAAGCACCGCUAGGUGCCAGACCUGCUGCAGGAGCAACACCAGAUGUUAUGAACGUCUGGCAGAGCAAAGCUGAUGACUACUCGAUAGUUCAGUGUGCCAUGCUUUACGGCUUAGAACCGGGACUUCAACGAUGUUUUGAAUGUCAUGGAGCAUAUGAGAUGUUCCAGGAGUUGAAGUUAAUAUUUCAAGCAAAUGCCCGGAUUGAGAGAUAUGAAGUCUCCAAUAAGUUCUACAGCUGCAAGAUGGAAGAGAAUAGUUCUGUCAGUGAGCAUAUACUCAGAAUGUCUGGGUAUAACAAUCACUUGAUUCAACUGGGAGUUAAUCUUCCGGAUGAUAGCGUCAUUGACAGAAUUCUUCAAUCACUGCCACCAAGCUAUAAGAGCUUUGUGAUGAAUUAUAACAUGCAAGGGAUGGAUAAGACGAUUCCCGAGCUCUUCGCAAUGCUAAAGGUUGCGGAGGUAGAAAUCAAGAAGGAGCGUCAAGUGUUGAUGGUCAACAAGACCACCAGUUUCAAGAAAAAGGGCAAAGGGAAGAAGGAGGGGAACUUCAAGAAGAACAACAAACAAGUUGCUGCUCAGGAGAAGAAACCCAAGUCUGGACCUAAGCCCGAGACUGAGUGCUUCUACUACAAACAGACUGGUCACUGGAAGCGGAACUGCCCAAGUAUUUGGCGGAUAAGAAGGAUGGCAAGGUGAACAAAGGUAUAUGUGAUAUACAUGUUAUUGAUGUGUACCUUACUAAUGCUCGCACUAGCACCUGGGUAUUUGAUAUUGGUUCUUUUGCUAAUAUUUGUAACUCGAAACAGGGACUACGGAUUAAGCGAAGAUUGGCUAAGGACGAGGUGACGAUGCGCGUGGGAAAUGGUUCCAAAGUCGAUGUGAUCGCGGUCGGCACGCUACCUCUACAUCUACCUUCGGGAUUAGUUUUAGACCUGAAUAAUUGUUAUUUGGUGCCAGCGUUGAGCAUGAACAUUAUAUCUAGAUCUUGUUUGAUGCGAGACAGUUAUUCAUUUAAAUCAGAGAAUAAUGGUUGUUCUAUUUAUAUGAGUAAUAUCUUUUAUGGUCAUGCACCCUUGAGGAGUGGUCUAUUUAUAUUAAAUCUCGAUAGUAGUGAUACACAUAUUCAUAAUAUUGAGGCCAAAAGAUGCAGAGUUGAUAAUGAUAGUGCAACUUAUUUGUGGCACUGCCGUUUAGGUCAUAUUGGUGUAAAGCGCAUGAAGAAACUCCAUUCCAAUGGACUUUUGGAAUCACUUGAUUAUGAUUCACUUGGUACUUGCGAACCAUGUCUCAUGAGCAAGAUGACUAAAACGCCGUUCUCCGGAACUAUGGAGCGAGCAAUAGAUUUGUCGAAAAUCAUACAUACAGAUGUAUGUGGUCCGAUGAAUGUUGAGGCUCGCAGCGGGUAUCGUUAUUUUCUCACCUUCACAGAUGAUUUAAGCAGAUAUGGGUAUAUCUACUUAAUAAAACAUAAGUCUGAAACAUUUGAAAAGUUCAAAGAAUUUCAGAGUGAAGUUGAAAAUCAUCGUAACAAGAAAAUAAAGUUCCUACGAUCUGAUCAUGGAGGAGAAUAUUUGAGUUACGAGUUUGGUCUAUAUUUGAAACAAUGCGGAAUAGUUUCGCAACUCACGUCACCUGGAACACCACAGCGUAAUGGUGUGUCCGAACAUCGUAAUCGUGCUUUACUAGAUAUGGUGCGAUCUAUGAUGUCUCUUACUGAUUUACCGCUAUCGUUUCGGAGUUAUGCUCUAGAGACAGCUGCAUUCACGUUAAAUAGGGCACCAUCGAAAUCCGUUGAGACGACGCCUUAUGAACUAUGGUUUGGCAAGAAACCAAAGUUGUCGUUUCUUAAAGUUUGGGGCUGCGAUGCUUAUGUGACAAAGCUUCAACCUGAUAAGCUCGAACCCAAAUCGGAGAAAUGUGUCUUCAUAGGAUACCCAAAAGAGACUGUUGGGUACACCUUCUAUCACAGAUCCGAAGGCAAGACUUUUGUUGCUAAAUUAGGAUCCUUUCUAGAGAAGGAUUUUCUCUCGAAAGAAGUGAGUGGGAGGAAAGUAGAACUUGAUGAGGUAACUGUACCUGCUCCCUUAUUGGAAAGUAGUUCAUCACAGAAACCGGUUCCUAUGACGUCUAUACCAAUUAGUGAGGAAGCUAAUGAUGAUGAUCAUGAAACUUCAGAUCAAGUUGCUACUGAACCUCGUAGAUCAACCAGAGUAAGAUCUGCACCCGAGUGGUACGGUAAUCCUGUUCUGGAGGUUAUGUUACUAGACCAUGACCAACCUACGAACUAUGAAGAAGCAAUGGUGAGCCCAGAUUCCGCGAAAUGGCUUGAAGCCAUGAAAUCUGAGAUGGGAUCCAUGUAUGAGAACAAAGUGUGGACUUUGGUUGACUUGCCCGAUGACCGGCAAGCAUUGAGAAUAAAUGGAUCUUCAAGAAGAAGACUGACGCUGACGGUAAUGUUACUGUUUAUAAAGCUCGACUUGUUGCAAAAGGUUUUCGACAAGUUCAAGGGAUUGACUACGAUGAGACUUUCUCACCCGUAGUGAUGCUUAAGUCUGUCCGAAUCAUGUUAGCAAUUGCCGCAUUUUAUGAUUAUGAAAUUUGGCAAAUGGAUGUCAAAACUGCAUUCCUGAAUGGAUUUCUGAAAGAAGAGUUGUAUAUGAUGCAACCGGAAGGUUUUGUCGAUCCAAAGGGAGCUAACAAAGUGUGCAAGCUCUAGCGAUCCAUUUAUGGACUGGUGCAAGCCUCUCGGAGUUGGAAUAAACGUUUUGAUAGUGUGAUCAAAGCAUAUGGAUUUAUACAGACUUUUGGAGAAGCCUGUAUUUACAAGAAAGUGAGUGUGAGCUCUGUAGCAUUUCUGAUAUUAUAUGUGGAUGACAUAUUGUUGAUCGGAAAUGAUAUAGAAUUUCUGAAUAGCAUAAAGGGAUAUUUGAACAAGAGUUUUUCAAUGAAGGACCUCGGUGAAGCUGCUUAUAUAUUGGGCAUCAAGAUCUAUAGAGAUAGAUCAAGACGCUUAAUUGGACUUUCACAAAGCACAUACCUUGAUAAAGUUUUGAAGAAGUUCAAAAUGGACCAGGCAAAGAUAGGGUUCUUGCCUGUGUUGCAAGGUGUGAAGUUGAGUAAGACUCAAUGCCCGACCACUGCAGAAGAUAGAGAGAAGAUGAAAGAUGUUCCCUAUGCUUCAGCCAUAGGCUCUAUCAUGUAUGCAAUGCUGUGUACCAGACCUGAUGUGUGCCUUGCUAUAAGUUUAGCUAGGAGGUACCAAAGUAAUCCAGGAGUGGAUCACUGGACAGCAGUCAAGAACAUCCUGAAAUACCUGAAAAGGACUAAGGAUAUGUUUCUCAUUUAUGGAGGUGACAAAGAGCUAGUCGUAAAUGGUUACGUCGAUGCAAGCUUUGACACUGAUCCGGACGAUUCUAAAUCGCAAACCGGAUACGUGUUUACAUUGAACGGUGGAGCUGUCAGUUGGUGCAGUUCUAAACAAAGCGUCGUGGCGGGAUCUACAUGUGAAGCAGAGUACAUAGCUGCUUCGGAAGCAGCAAAUGAAGGAGUAUGGAUGAAGGAGUUCAUAUCCGAUCUAGGUGUUAUACCUAGUGCAUCGGGUCCAAUGAAAAUCUUUUGUGACAAUACUGGUGCAAUUGCUUUGGCAAAGGAAUCCAGAUUUCACAAGAGAACCAAGCACAUCAAGAGACGCUUCAACUCCAUCCGGGAUCAAGUCCAGGUGGGAGACAUAGAGAUUUGCAAGAUACAUACGGAUCUGAAUGUUGCAGACCCGUUGACUAAGCCUCUUCCACGAGCAAAACAUGAUCAGCACCAAGGCUCCAUGGGUGUUAGAAUCAUUACUGUGUAAUCUAGAUUAUUGACUCUAGUGCAAGUGGGAGACUGAAGGAAAUAUGCCCUAGAGGCAAUAAUAAAGUUAUUAUUUAUUUCCUUAUAUCAUGAUAAAUGUUUAUUAUUCAUGCUAGAACUGUAUUAACCGGAAACAUAAUACUUGUGUGAAUACAUAGACAAACAGAGUGUCACUAGUAUGCCUCUACUUGACUAGCUCGUUGAUCAAAGAUGGUUAUGUUUCCUAGCCAUUGACAUGAGUUGUCAUUUGAUUAACGGGAUCACAUCAUUAGGAGAAUGAUGUGAUUGACUUGACCCAUUCCGUUAGCUUAGCACUUGAUCGUUUAGUAUUCUGAUAUUGCUUUCUUCAUGACUUAUACAUGUUCCUAUGACUAUGAGAUUAUGCAACUCCCAUUUACCGGAGGAACACUUUGUGUGCUACCAAACGUCACAACGUAACUGAGUGAUUAUAAAGGAGCUCUACAGGUGUCUCCGAAGGUACUUGUUGGGUUGGCGUAUUUCGAGAUUAGGAUUUGUCACUCCGAUUGUCGAAGAGGUAUCUCUGGGCCCACUCGGUAAUGGACAUCACUAUAAGCCUUGCAAGCAUUGUAACUAAUGAGUUAGUUGCAGGAUGAUGUAUUACGGAACGAGUAAAGAGACUUGCCGGUAAUGAGAUUGAACUAGGUAUUGAGAUACCGACAAUCGAAUCUCGGGCAAGUAACAUACCGAUGACAAAGGGAACAACCUAUGUUGUUAUGCGGUUUGACCGAUAAAGAUAUUCGUAGAAUAUGUAGGAGUCAAUAUGAGCACCCAGGUUCCGCUAUUGGUUAUUGACCGGAGACGUGUCUCGGUCAUGUCUACAUAGUUCUCGAACCCGUAGGGUCCGCACGCUUAAAGUUCGAUGACGAUUGUAUUAUGAGUUUUUGUGUUUUGAUGUACCGAAGAUAGUUUGGAGUCCCGGAUGUGAUCACGGAGAUGACGAGGAGUCUCGAAAUGGUCGAGACAUAAAGAUCGAUAUAUUGGAUGACUAUGUUCGGACACCGGAAUGGUUUCGGGGAGUUUCGGACAUAUACCGGAGUACCGGGGGGUUACCGGAACUCCCCGGGGAGUUUAAUGGGCCAAGAUGGGCCUUAGUGGAGAAGAGGAGGGGCGGCUAGGGCUGGCCGCGCGCCCCCUCUCCCUCUAGUACGAAUUGGACAAGGAGGGGGGGGGGGCGCCCCCUUUCCUUCCUCCCCUCUCCUUCCCUUCCUUUUCCCCCUCCUACUCCAACUAGGAAAAGAGGGAGUCCUACUCCCGGUGGGAGUAGGACUCCUCCCUGGCGCGCCCUCCUCCUGGCCGGCGGCCUCCUCCCCCUGAUCCUUUAUAUACGGGGGCAGGGGGCCACCACUAGACAGAAGUUGAUCUGUUGAUCUAUUCCAGCCGUGUGCGGUGCCCCCUCCACCAUAUUCCACCUCGGUCAUAUCGUAGCGGUGCUUAGGCGAAGUCCUGCGUCGGUAGCAACAUCAUCACCGUCAUCACGCCGUCGUGCUGACGGAACUCUCCCGUGAAGCUUUGCUGGAUCGGAGUUCGCGGGACGUCAUCGAGCUGAACGUGUGCUGAACUCGGAGGUGCCGUACGUUCGGUACUUGGAUCGGUCGGAUCGUGAAGACGUACGACUACAUCAACCGCGUUGUGCUAAUGCUUCCGCUUUUGGUCUACGAGGGUACGUGGACAACACUCUCCCCUCUCGUUGCUAUGCAUCACCAUGAUCCUGUGUGUGCGUAGGAAAAUUUUGAAAUUACUACGUUCCCCAACAUUAUAUUCUUAAAAAGAGGGUUGUCCAACGACGUUCUCCAUUUCUCCCCACCCAUGCCCGACCAUUUUUUCUCAUUCCAUUUUCCCAACCAACCUUGAUUUUUUUUGCAUAAAUAUUAUUCGAAGUACAUAGUUCAAACAUAAAUAUUAUUCAGACUACAUAGUUCAAACAUAAAAUUUAAACGAUGCCACGAUCUAUUUGUCUCCAUUACGCCUCUACAAGACCAUUGAGUAGUUGUUGAUGCACUUCUCAAUCUCGAAGUUGCCGACCCAUCUCCCAAAAUUGUCCAGCAAGCUAUGCAUCUUGUUCUGGAUGUGCACACGAUUCUCGAAGCUUGUCAAAAUCAACAUUACAUAUAUAGUUACCCUCAUCCUCCGUACCUCCACAAUCUUGUUGUGCAUGACCAGACAUGAAGCCAUCACCUCUCACAAUGUCUCACGAUCCCAAAUAUUUGCGUGUCCACGAACAAUAGCCCAACGAACAGUUGUCCUGCCCGGUGUCAAAACCCCUAAAGUUGAUGCCAUGCUCGCCUUCCUUCUCCAUUUCUUCGAGGAUUAUCAUCGUCAUCAACUUGUACUCGCCAUCACUAUCAUCCGAUGACAAUGAAUCGCAUAACUCAUUGUAAAUAAACUCAUCAUCCGAGUCCAUUGUGUAUCCCUAUAAAUGUGCAUAAACCAAGGUAAGAAAAUAUUUUUCUCGUAAUAAUCGAUGAUUAUUCUAGAAUCAUUUGGGUAUUUUGGUAUGAUAAAGGUAAAACCCAAGGCACAUUCAAGACUUCUGUAAGAAAAGAUCAAAGCCAUAUUUAGGUCACGAUCAAGAAAGUGUGAGCUGAUAACAGAUGAAGUUCAAGAUCACCAAUGUUGAUGUCUUCCUCGAUGAAAGGGAUCAACCACAAGCUUUACACCACCUAUACCGCCCACAAAAUGGAGUUAUGGAGAGCAAAAUGAAAGAUUGAUCAUGAUGGCACACUAUGCUCGACGAGUACAAUACGCACGGUAUUUGAGAUUCCCAAAAAUGGUAUGCAAGGAAAUUACCGAUGCAAUCACAACUUUCUGGUGGGGAGAUCCUGAGGAGUAGAGAAAGAUGCAUUGGUUCACAUGCUGGCGAAUGUGCCUACCCAAGCGUUAAGGAGGCAUGGGUUUCAGAGACUUACAUGCUUUUAAUCUUGCUAUGCUGGCUAAAUAGAGUUGGAGGUUAAUUACACAUCUUGAUACUUUGUGUGCAUGGGUAUUACGAGCUAAACUAUUAUGAGCGAGCUUCUGGAAUUCGGCUUGCGUUGAUGGGCUAAGGCCCAAGCACACUACUCCCUCGCUCGUGAUUUAUCAGAGCCAAGGCCACCAAAUUCUUUGCACCAAUUCGGUUGAUCAGAGCCAAGAUUGCCAUGAAUGAUCCAACACUAGAGGACAGACGGGGUUGCUCGCUUCUCCGUAGCAUCUGUCUAGCAGCAAACAAACUUUUUGAACUUUGCCACUCUUACUACGUGUCCUUAUACUGUUAGAUGAUGUACAUGGUUCGAGUAUUUAUUCUCGCAACGAAAAUGUGAUUUAGUCCGACAUUAACAAUGAUUGGCAUCUUCAACAUCGAUAUGUCCGUGGACCGGUGGGGAGACCAGUUCACAAACAAUGAUGCUGGAGCCAGUCAUCCAAAGUUGUCCUCAAAACUUUUGCCUUUUCUUUUUAAGUCCGGAAGCUCAAAAUAACCGCAUAUCAAAUCAUAGAUGAUUGAAAAUGUUCAAAUGUGACAUUAGUUAUAAUUUAAAUAUUACAAUGCAACAAAGUUUUUAAAUUAAAUAAGUUCAAACUUGAAUUCAACUAGCACAUAUGUUUUAGUUGUCCCGUUUAACCAUUCACAUAUGCUCAAUCAAAUCUUACUUGAGUUACUCGAUACCGAAUUUAUUGAUGCCUUUCGAAUAAACUCGUAGAACUUGGCUGAAUUCUGAUAAGGAAUUUAAUAGGAUCACCCAUGUUCUCAAAUUCAAGAGCCGCAGUAGCGUCUUCACUCUUAUCCUCCACGAUCAUGUUAUGUAUGAUCACACAAGAUUGUCAUCACCUUCCACUAGGUCUCCGGAUCUCAUUGUCUAGUAGGUCCACGAACAACCGUUAAGCGGGCAUGGAGAACUCCUAAUGCUCUCUUCAACUGGCUCGUAUAUGUACUCUAUGUCUGAAUCCAUUGCCUUAAAGAAAGCACAAAAAAAUUAGCACGGGCAUUUCAGCAAACACUUGUGGGCUUGCCGGGUUAGGUCGAAGAGAGAGAGAGAGAGAGAGAGCGGGGUGAGGAGAGAGUGCUGAAGGAGAGAGAAAGGGGAAUGACCCAGCCAGUUCGUUUUGACAGCACCGGUCUGCUAACGGUCGUUAACUGGCACACCACCCCCUGCCCUGCGCACGUGGCCCGACUUGCGGGCCAGGGAUGUCAGAAAAUGUUUUAAAAACUUACGAUGGGCGUUUUGGAUUUUUUGAAACAGCCGACCCCAUAUUUGAUAAUUAUGAGCGACAAACAAAUUUUUGAUACCUGAAAAGUGAUAGUUUUAUGCUAUUUACACUCAAAUUGGGAUGCCAUUCUUGCAUGACUGAUCAAUUACUACAACUUACGCGACAUGCAUAAUUAGGCGAAGUUAGAACAGCGAAGUGGGCAUGCACUUACCAGUGGAGCACCCACAUACACUGAUGUCAACAUUAAGCAGUGGACUAAAAAGGAAAAAGGUGACGAAAAGAAUAACAACAACAACAAAGCCUUUAGUCCCAAAUAAGUUGGGAUAGGCUAGAGCUGAAACAUAUAAGAUCUCGUGACCAACUCAUGGCUCUGGCACAUGGAUAGCAAGCUUUCAUGCACCCCUGUCCAUAACUAGUUCUUUGGUGAUACUCCAAUCCUUUAGGUCUCUCUUAAUGGACUCCUCCCAUGUCAAAUUCGUUCUACCCCGACCUCUCUUGACAUUCUCCGUACGCUUUAGCCGUCUACUAUGCACUGGAGCUUCUGGAGGCCUGCGCUGAAUAUACCCAAAUUAAACCAUCUCAGACGAUAUUGGAGAAGCUUCUCUUCAAUUGGUGCUACCCCAACUCUAUCCCGUAUAUCAUCAUUCUGGACUCGAUCCUUCUUCGUGUGGCCACACAUCCAUAUCAACAUACGCAUCUCCGCCACACCAAACUGUUGAAAGAACAUGAAACUCUAAUCCUCUAGUUCACGGGUCAUGAUCGCCCGAGAUUAUUUAUUAAUUAAUUGUGCGUCAAAGAGGGGAAGCCCCGGCCGGUGUUGUCACGGCUUGCUUAAUUUGAUCAACUUUGUUAAUUGUAACCAACGUGUCACCUGUGCGCUGCCCAUCUGGGGAUAAUUAAGAAUACAUGCCCUCCGUUUUUAAUUAUAAAUCCUUUUAGAUAUUCCAAUACAAACUACAUAUAAAUUUUAUAUACAUUUUGAUGAUUUUUGAAAAAGGAGGCGGGGCAAGGCCACCAAAUUCUUUUCACCAAUUCGCUUCAAUAAGCCAGCUUCUACCAUUAAUGAUUCAAUCAAUCAACACUACUAGUAGACGACGCUCACUUAUUACUGAUGGAGCGCACACAUCUGCAAUGCAACGUCCUUCGUUUUCAGAGUUUGCCAUUACAAGUAUAACACCAAAAUGUGCUAAAUGCUAAUACAUGCUGCCGCGCAAUGCAGCAGAGUACACAUUUGCACUACUCGUCGCCUCACUCUUGGAGGAGUAAAAGUCUGUAUUUUUUUCAAUCCACGAAGCUACAGAAAAAAAA